GAAACAUUGAUUUAAAUAUUAAAAACACAUAAGAUGGGUUAAAGUAAUAGUAAAAUACAUACUGUAUGGUACUAUAGAAGGUCUCCUUUAAAUCUGAGCUUCUUUAAAAGCUGCACAUCUUAAGAACCUUUGUGUGCCAGAAAUUCAAGUUCCAGCUGGCUGUUGAGAUUAUACUUGUAAAUUUAAUCAGUAUUUUUGGUAUUAUUAUUUUGCAGCCCACAUUCUUCUGUCAAAUUCAGAAAGCUCUGAAGUCAUUAAAUCACACUGAAUUUGGAACUGAUGGAGUACUCAUGAGGUUACUGGAUGAGUACGAUUUAUCGAUUAAGCAGAUGUCACAUCAUAAGGGAAAUUGUAAAAUUGAUGACAAUGGUGACCAGGUACAACUUCAUGCGCUUCUAAAUAAGAUGAAGGACUGCAUCCAGAAAAUCAAUUCUAAACCAAAUUAAGACUGGAAAAGGCUGCUAUUAUGAAUUGC
This 475-nucleotide long non-coding RNA is filed under the name Lepisosteus oculatus (spotted gar). Its description in RNAcentral is "lncRNA (ENSLOCG00000022957.1)". The record is from RNAcentral. Lineage: Eukaryota; Metazoa; Chordata; Actinopteri; Semionotiformes; Lepisosteidae.